UACGGAGGGGGCUAGCGUUGUUCGGAAUUACUGGGCGUAAAGGGCACGUAGGCGGAUUGUUAAGUCGGAGGUGAAAUCCUGAGGCUCAACCUCAGAAUAGCCUUCGAUACUGGCGAUCUCGAGUACGGGAGAGGUGAGUGGAAUUCCCAGUGUAGAGGUGAAAUUCGUAGAUAUUGGGAAGAACACCAGUGGCGAAGGCGGCUCACUGGCCCGUAACUGACGCUGAGGUGCGAAAGCGUGGGGAGCAAACAGG
RNAcentral lists this unclassified non-coding RNA (253 nucleotides) under uncultured Alphaproteobacteria bacterium. RNAcentral describes it as "contains 16S-23S intergenic spacer region". It matches the Rfam family "Bacterial small subunit ribosomal RNA", at positions 524 to 776 of the family's 1533-position model. Lineage: Bacteria; Pseudomonadati; Pseudomonadota; Alphaproteobacteria. The record is from RNAcentral.